CUUUGUCUGGGCUUGAGGUGCCCCUUCCAUAUUAUCAUUUCUAUCGGUGUGGUCCCCACUCAGGUCUUCUUUAGGCAACUACAUUGAUGAGAUUUCAAGAGUAGAAUUUUGACAGUUCUAGGAGAUACAACAGCACAGCGAACUCCCUGUUUCUUAGGUUGUUACAAUAUGGCUGCCUCUUGCAGUGUAACUUCUGAACCUUAGAUGUGGGGGAUGUAGAUGUUGUAGAUGUAAUCAGGUGGGGCUGGGCACCACACAGCCACUUGCUGUCUGCAUUUCAACCUACAUGGCUCUCUGCAAUGCUCUUUGUCUGCUACAAAGAGAAGAUUCUUUGGAGAGGAAUAACACCCAAUCAUCUGUGGGCUUAAGGACACACACAUAUAUAUACUGUAGCUAGGAAUUAUGAUCACUUAUUAAUGUGGUGGUUAUAGAUUCUCCUCCAAGAUUGGUGACUUUACUAGCCCCUGAUAGUUGGCUAGGUUUCUAGUGUAGGCAUGAUUUCCCUCAUGUUGAAUGGACAUUAAGUCCAAUUAGAGUGCUGUUGGUUACCACAAAGGUGUGUGUGUGUGUGUGUCAGUGUUUCAACCUUAGAGAUACUGUGUCAUGGGAUCAAGUUGUUCAGAGGUAUCAUAGCUGGGGAGUACUACUGGUGUCUGCCCUUCUUUCUGGUACCUUGAGAGCUAGCCUACAGAAUGGAGACUUUCAGGCCAUCUCUAGUGGGUCCUCUGUGUAUUGUGUCUGAACUCACAGUGUCUUCAGCAAGUGAGAUUUACUUUUAACCUCUGGGAGGUAAGCAAGAAUAACUGUAAUAUCUAUGAUAUUUUUGUGAGUCUCUUAGAUAUUUCUGACCAACGACUCAAAAAGGGAGCUUCCCGGCCUGGUGUUGAGCUUUUUAUUGGAUACUUUGUGGCUCUUGGGGAAGAAAUUGUCAUCCCAGAUGGGGAAAGAUCAUUUGAACUAUAUAAACUUCUCAGUACUACAUGCAAUCUUAGGUAAAUAGAUAGUAACAGGACGUCUUAUGACAUUUUCAGAAUCCUUAUUUUUAUUUUCCCUCCCUCCCUCCUUCUGGAUUUAUCUCCUACCCCUCCUAUUUGAAGCACCUCUGUUUUUUCAUCUCCUUCUUCAAAUCACUCCCACACUGCUGUAACCAGUUACUCCACAUCACAGACUCAGAUCUGAGGAUUUGGAACUAGGAGCCUCAGAUGAGAGAGCAAUUAUGAUUUGUUCUUUGGGCCUUUAAUACUACAUUUUUUUCCCUAUCCAUCUACCUGAAAAUUUCACUUCAUUUUUAUAGCUGAAUAGUAUUCCACGCCAUAUCUGUACCACAUUUCAUUAUCCUUCAGUUGGUUGAAGGACACUUAGGUUGUUUGAUUUCCUAGCUAUUGUGUGACUAGAACAGCAGUGAGCAGCAGGUAUCUCUGGAGUAGGAUGUCAAGUCCUUUGGGCGUACACUGAGGAGCUGUGUUCCUAGUCCAUAUGGUAGAUUCAUUUUUGGCGUGUUAAGAAUUCUCCAUCUUGAUUUCUAGAGUGCCUGGAUGAGCUUGCAAUCCUACCAGUGCUGAACAAGACUUCAUUCAUUCAUGACCCUUUCCUUUGCAUCCUCUCCAUCAUUUAUUGGUGGUUGAUUGGUUGAUCUCUGCCAUUCUCACUGGGCUAAGAUGAAAUCACAAAAUUAUUGGAAUCACAUUUUCCUAAGUUCUAGGGGUGAUGAACUUUUUUAUUUUUUAUUUUUUUAGAUUUUUUUUUAACCACGCUAAUGGGAUAUCACCCAACUGGUCUAGUGCCCCGUGCUUUGAAAGACUCCUUCCUAAAAAGGUAUAAAGUAAUGCUGAGUGAGAAAGGUGGGUUAGACACUGAGCAACUUUAAUGGUAUUCUUUGCUUUGGUAGAUACCAAGACUUUAUCCAUUUUGGAUUUUGGUGCUUUGGGUUAACAUUAACUAAGAAGAAAAAUAUUGCUGGAAGUCUUGAAUUUUUAAUAUGAAUGGCAUUCCAGGAAGGGUUCCAGUAGGCAGGCAGGACAGCGCAUGCCCAGCCCCUAGCACAGACAAUGGCAAAGAUUAGAGCCUUAUAAAUAAUUGCUGAAUGUCUGUCAAAUGAAUGAAGGGUGAAUGAACAAACAUGCAGAGCUUGCCACUAGGACUUUUUUUCAGGUGUGAGUAUACACCAGCUUUUAGCUAGUCUGGGGAAUUUUUUUUUUUUUUUUGACCUUACCUGAUUGCUUGAGAAGGUUUUCCCUGCAACACUCAGAUGGAGCUGUCUGUUCAAAUCUGAUCCGACAGCAAUCUGCUUUGUCAAACACCGGACGCUGGAAGACGGGCUUUUCACAGCUUUAAGCGGCAUGACAUGGAUAUCACAGAGUGUUGCUUAGAAUCACCUGCUGGCAAUCACUGUUACCCUAGGGUUAGCUGAAUUGCAGACUAGGUCUAAUUUGAUUUCUCCUAUUUAAUUGACAGUUUUAAUGGAGCGCUAGAAAGAACACAUUUCUAGGGCAACAUAUGGCUAAGUCUAAAAUAGCCAAGGUCAAAUUUCCAGUUGCCUUGUAGCACUUGGGUUUAGCUGACAGCCUACUGGAUUCUCAUUGCCUUGGGGUAUCAGUCAUGGAGCAGUAAUGAGUGAACAACUAGGAUCAUAGCACUGAUGGCUGGCUUUUGCCCCUGGACAACCAGGAGAGUGAGUAACUGUCACUGCAUUCCUAUGGACAGCAGACUGCUUGUCUUUGGAUGCUACCUAGGUCACCUUGUUGCUUGACCCAGUAUUAGAUCCACAGGUGAGAGUUUUUAUUGACAUUUUUCUUUGAGGUACAUGAUUUCAUGACUAUAAUUGG
RNAcentral lists this long non-coding RNA (2825 nucleotides) under Mus musculus (house mouse). Its description in RNAcentral is "long non-coding RNA chr9:41423147-41425972". The record is from RNAcentral. Lineage: Eukaryota; Metazoa; Chordata; Mammalia; Rodentia; Muridae.